Molecule: long non-coding RNA, 248 nt
Filed under: Lathyrus oleraceus (garden pea)
Lineage: Eukaryota; Viridiplantae; Streptophyta; Magnoliopsida; Fabales; Fabaceae
Description: Pisum sativum (pea) long non-coding RNA (PSAT_LNC011686)
Source: RNAcentral
CCAUUUUUUGCAGAGUCGAAUGCCCAUCCUGUAAUCGAGUUUGCUUUUAGCCCUCUUUUGGAUGAUGAGUUUCUUAGGAAUAUUCCCAAUUCACGCUUGCUCGGUUACCUAUUAUAUGCCCAGUAACCGGUAUCCCUGGUGUUCCUUCCUUUCUGCUCCCUAUUGUGACUUUUGUCCCUCGUGGAGUCGGAUUUCCUGAGUUGAAAUAUACCUUUUUCAGGUCUUCCUCAGAUGAUUUUGGAUGAUUG